This 218-nucleotide unclassified non-coding RNA is filed under the name Hevea brasiliensis (rubber tree). The record is from RNAcentral. Lineage: Eukaryota; Viridiplantae; Streptophyta; Magnoliopsida; Malpighiales; Euphorbiaceae.
AUUUAGGGAUGAUGCUAGGCAGGUAAUGAUGGAAAACACAUUGUACACAGUUUUUUGUUAUGGUAAUUGUUGUCUUUCUCCCCUUUCUACAUGUGAUUCUUUGGAUACCUUGUGUUAAGCAGUCAAAGCAGUCCUGUCAAUCUUUUCCUGUAUUGAAUUUAUGCCCAGAUCUGCUUAUAUGUGCAGCCUUACUUCUUGAUUAGGAGGAUGGAUCCCCA